GCUGCAGGAAUUCCCAAUACUAUCGGUACGGGUUGUGGGAGCAAGAGCCCGGAGAUGGAUUCUGAGACACGAAUCCAGGCCCUACGGGGCGCAGCAGGCGCGAAAACUUUACAAUGCAGGAAAUUGUGAUAAGGGAACCCCGAGUGCCCGUAUGGACGGGCUGUUCAGGUGCUUAAAAACCACCUGGAGAAAGGGCCGGGCAAGACCGGUGCCAGCCGCCGCGGUAAUACCGGCGGCUCGAGUGGUGGCCACUAUUACUGGGCUUAAAGCGUCCGUAGCUUGGUCGUUAAGCCUCUGGGGAAAUCUUCCGGCUCAACCGGAAGGCGUCUCAGGGGAACUGGCGACCUAGGGAUCGGGAGAGGUGAGAGGUACUCUGGGGGUAGGAGUGAAAUCCUGUAAUCCUCAGGGGACCACCUGUGGCGAAGGCGUCUCACCAGAACGACUCCGACAGUGAGGGACGAAAGCUGGGGGAGCAAACCGGAUUAGAUACCCGGGUAGUCCCAGCC
This 506-nucleotide ribosomal RNA is filed under the name uncultured Methanofollis sp. RNAcentral describes it as "bacterial SSU rRNA". It matches the Rfam family "Archaeal small subunit ribosomal RNA", at positions 244 to 752 of the family's 1478-position model. The record is from RNAcentral. Lineage: Archaea; Methanobacteriati; Methanobacteriota; Methanomicrobia; Methanomicrobiales; Methanomicrobiaceae.